This 47-nucleotide ribosomal RNA is filed under the name Gymnopilus luteofolius. Its description in RNAcentral is "partial 5.8S ribosomal RNA". Lineage: Eukaryota; Fungi; Basidiomycota; Agaricomycetes; Agaricales; Galerinaceae. The record is from RNAcentral. RNAcentral also lists the same sequence under 1 other name.
AAACUUUAUACAACUUUCAGCAACGGAUCUCUUGGCUCUCGCAUCGA